This 530-nucleotide ribosomal RNA is filed under the name uncultured Cortinarius. RNAcentral's name for it is "eukaryotic LSU rRNA". The stretch from base 162 to 315 matches the Rfam family "5.8S ribosomal RNA". Lineage: Eukaryota; Fungi; Basidiomycota; Agaricomycetes; Agaricales; Cortinariaceae. The record is from RNAcentral.
CACCUUUUGUAAAUCUGAAUAUCUUUCUGGACAUGCCUGGCAUAUUCAGGUUUGAGGAUUGAUCUUUUUCUUUCCUUACAUUUUCAGGUUUAUGUUUUUCAUAUACCCCAAAGUAUGUUAUAGAAUGUUAUAAACGGGCCUUUGUGCCUAUAAAUUUAUACAACUUUCAGCAACGGAUCUCUUGGCUCUCGCAUCGAUGAAGAACGCAGCGAAAUGCGAUAAGUAAUGUGAAUUGCAGAAUUCAGUGAAUCAUCGAAUCUUUGAACGCACCUUGCGCUCCUUGGUAUUCCGAGGAGCAUGCCUGUUUGAGUGUCAUUAAUAUAUCAACCUCUUCAGCUUUUUGCAUGUUGAGUUGUUGGAUGUGGGGGUAUUUUUGCUGGACUCUAGAAUCUGAGGUCAGCUCCCCUAAAAUGUAUCAGCGAAACAAUUUGUUUACCGCUCAUUGGUGUGAUAACUAUCUACGCUAUUGACGGUGAAAGCACGUUUAGCUUCUAACAGUCCAUUAGCUUGGACAACCUCUUAUUAAUGUG